This 474-nucleotide ribosomal RNA is filed under the name uncultured organism. RNAcentral describes it as "partial 16S ribosomal RNA". It matches the Rfam family "Bacterial small subunit ribosomal RNA", at positions 334 to 799 of the family's 1533-position model. The record is from RNAcentral.
CACUCCUACGGGAGGCAGCAGUGGGGAAUAUUGCACAAUGGGCGCAAGCCUGAUGCAGCCAUGCCGCGUGUAUGAAGAAGGCCUUCGGGUUGUAAAGUACUUUCAGCGGGGAGGAAGGCGAUAAGGUUAAUAACCUUGUCGAUUGACGUUACCCGCAGAAGAAGCACCGGCUAACUCCGUGCCAGCAGCCGCGGUAAUACGGAGGGUGCAAGCGUUAAUCGGAAUUACUGGGCGUAAAGCGCACGCAGGCGGUCUGUCAAGUCGGAUGUGAAAUCCCCAGGCUCAAACUGGGAACUGCAUUCGAAACUGGCAGGCUAGAGUCUUGUAGAGGGGGGUAGAAUUCCAGGUGUAGCGGUGAAAUGCGUAGAGAUCUGGAGGAAUACCGGUGGCGAAGGCGGCCCCCUGGACAAAGACUGACGCUCAGGUGCGAAAGCGUGGGGAGCAAACAGGAUUAGAAACCCCAGUAGUCCCAUG